UUGUAAAGCACUUUAGGUGGGGAAGAAAGGUAGUGAGAGAAUAACUCAUUGCUAUGACGGUACCCGCAGAAUAAGCACCGGCUAACUCUGUGCCAGCAGCCGCGGUAAUACAGAGGGUGCAAGCGUUAAUCAGAAUGACUGGGAGUAAAGGGGGUGUAGGUGGUUGACUAGGUUUGAUGUGAAAUCCCCGGAAUUAACCGGGGUAAUGCGUGGAAAACGGGUCGACUUGAGUGAGAUAGAGGGUUGUAGAAUUUCCGGUGUUGCGGUGAAAUGCGUAGAUAUGGGAAAGAAACGUCGAUGGACGAAGGCGACAACGGGGAUCUUCACGGACACUGAGGCGCGAAGGCGUGGGGAGCAAACGGGAUUAGACACCCUGGUAGUCCACGCAGUAACCGAUCAUAACUGGCUGUAAUGUGUAGGGAGCAAUCUAUGCAUGACAGUAGCGAAGCUAACGCGUUAAGUU
RNAcentral lists this ribosomal RNA (463 nucleotides) under uncultured bacterium. RNAcentral describes it as "bacterial SSU rRNA". It matches the Rfam family "Bacterial small subunit ribosomal RNA", at positions 423 to 866 of the family's 1533-position model. The record is from RNAcentral.